ACACCCGGCACGCGAUCACCCCGGGCUUCACCCUGAUUGGCUCACUCUGCAGACGGUGGGGCGGAGCCUUAUGCAGUUUUGUUUCCGUAGUGCCUGGGGGCGGGGAACGCGGGGUUGCGGAUUACUUGGCCGCUUCCUACGAAGACUAGAGAGGGUCAAACAUAGCUGAACGCAGUUGUGACAACCUGUUUUUCCUAUUGAGGUGGCGUAAAUAUACCCCAUCUCCUGUACCAGGACGAGGAAAGUGACCAUUGUCUAGAAAUGGAAGGCUGGCAUUAAGUUUAAUUCACAGGCCUCAGUACUGAAAUAAGUGGAUAGAGCAAAAGCUUAAGAAAACACCUUUUCAUCAUUGUCAUGGAUUCAUUAAGAAAGCCAUGACUGGGGGCGCCUUGGUGGCUUGGUCGGUUGAGCGUCCGACUUCGGCUCAGGUCAUGAUCUCACGGUCCAUGAGUUUGAGCCCCGCGUUGGGCUCUGUGCUGACAGCUCAGAGCCUGGAGCCUGUUUCGGAUUCUGUGUCUCCCUCUCUCUCUGCCCCUCCCCUGUUCAUGCUCUGUUUCUCUCUGUCUCAAAAAUAAAUAAACGUUAAGAAAAAAAAAAAAAAAAAAAAGAAAGCCAUGACUGGAUUCAACCACUGGCUCACAUUUUCUGCUAUGAGGAAAGCAGUAAAGGUUUACUCCUUUGGAAUGGGCACCUAGCCUUGCUAGUAUAGAUAGUAGACAUCUCUUAUGUAUCUUCACUGGGAACCAAGUGACCUGAGCAGUUUUGAGGUUCUGGGUCAUUUGGAUAACUGAAAACUCCCACCUUCAGAGAGAGGGUAGGAGCAGAUUCGGUAACCCAUGGUAAUACUUGCUACUACAUAUUUGGACAAGAAUUCGGGAUAGUGAAAACCCCUUCAGCUUGUUUCUUGGUGUACUGAAAAUUUCCUCCAUCCCAAUAAAAGAGAAUCAGAAAGACAUCUGCCCCAGUAAGGGGAUCAUCCCUAAUUUUUUGAUACCUUAAAAUAGCUAGGGUUCAGUAUUCAGACCCUCAGUCUAUAGCUGUCUCCCUCUGUGUCAAGAUACCUCCAAUCACCAUUAUGGUUAUCUAUUUUCUUCUGCCACCACUAGUCAUUGUAAUUUUUCCUAAUAGAUUGAUUUUCCUGUACUGACCACACUCCUGAUGCCUUCAAUUCAUUGUCACAAAUUACCUCAGACAGAGUGUUACCGAAUUGUGAUGAACAGAAUCAAUUUACAAAUAGACUUUUGCAUGAGUUGUGUGUCUUUAGAAUUCUAACUAACUGAAACCUGCAUUAGAUUAUUUAAAUUUUCAUGUUGGUUAGUUGUUUGUAGGAUAUUGGGAUCAUUGUUCCUUCCCACAAAAGUUUCUUUAAAGUCAGCUUGAAUGAACAGUAAUUGAGCACAAAAGCCUGACCUUGCCAACACUGCAUUGCAUGCUCAGUCAAAUUAGUUCAGACCGUUAUGGUUUAUAUUAACUAUAUUUGUCAUUUGUAAUUAACAUGGAUUAAGAUUUGGAGGAGAGUUCUGGUACUUGUUUUUGGUUGAUUAUGCUAAUGGGAAUUUCAGACCAUAUUAACAUUUUCUGUUGCUUCUUAAGUUUGUUUUGUGUUUUCUUAACAGAAUAAUUAUAUCUUUGAUCUGAUUUUGGAAUAGUCUGGCUAAUGUUUGCUCAGGAAGAAAAUAAAACCAUCCCUUACCCAAUUUUCUGCUUCUCCCUUUGACAAGUAUAUAAAAGGUUGAUCGGGAGAGAAGCAAACCAUACAUUUGAGUUUUGGCUCAUUGUAUAAGAUGAUGAUAAUGAUCCAAAUUUAGAAUGUCAUGAAAUCUCUUAAGGUUUUGUUUUAAAAUGCACUUACCAUGUCUUGGAUAUGAAACAGGUGGUUCUGCAGACAGGCCUGAGUUAUCGCCAAUGAACAGACUAUUGUGUGCAAAGUAGCUUUUCAUUAUCAUUGUUAACCCUCAUUAAAAUCACAAACUUUAGCUUUUCACAGCUUUGUUUUCUUUUAAAGAGAUGAUGUUCAAGGUUUUUGAAAUGUCUACGUUUUCUUGAAAUGUUUUCAUUUAAAAUAAAACUUCUUUUGUGGUUAUACACAUGCAUCAGUAUUAUGAGAGAGGAGGGUUUGAAGCUGAGCAGUAAUAUUAGUUUUAAUAUUUUGUUGUCUUUUUCAAAAGUCUUUCAUAAAACUUUCAAAAAUUAAUAAAUUCAUAAAAAUUUCAUUUGGGCAUCUGUAUUUGCAUUUUCUCUUCCUUUAAACAAUCCCUGUGUCUUUUUCCUGCUGGCAAUAUGCAUCAUCCUCAUUACCACUAAACAUUUAUGGAACAAUAUACCAUAUGUAAGAAAACAGCAAUUUCUGUAGCAAAUGCCUGCACAUUUUUGCUCUUUAAACACAAACUCCCAUGGACUCAUUGCAAGGUAAUAUCAGGGUGAGGAAGGCAUUUGAGAUUUCUUUUGGGCCUCAACCUACUUCUCAUUAGGCCUCCUUUAAUUUGGUUUUGGCCUUAGACAUAGCUUAGUUUAAUUGUUCAUAGCUGGUUUGCUUCACUUUCCCCCUCAAAGUUUAACUCUUCUAGUCCUCCCAGUAUUUUCUUAUGGAAAAUUUUAGAUUGAGUUUUUAUCUCUUGUAAAGUUUGGUUGCUUUGAUGGUUAAGAAGGUACACUUCAGUCAAACCUUGAAUUCUAUGUACAUUCAAAUUGUUGCUCUUUUUGAAUUUUGAAAUGGUACUUAGAGUAUUAGGGUUCAGUUUCAACAAUAAUUUGAGUGUUGGGUAUAGGCACUAUGCUAUUUUCACAUUUGCUGUUUUACUUAAUUAUAAAGAAUAAGGGAUCAUGGCUGUAAAGACUUGACCUAAUAUAAAUUCAUGAGCAAUGUGUUAUGGGGGAAUUCAGACCAUAUGGAAGACUAUCUUCUCUUAAGAAAUUUGAAAGGAGGUAUACAAAUAUAGUGAGAUUACAUUUUGAGAUACAUAUUCUUCCUUUCCAAUAUUUUCUGCUAUCCUACCACUCUCCCACACUCAGGAGGUGACCUGAGUGUAGUAUUCUCACUGCCCCUAAGCAAGGUUGUUACAAGAAAGAAAAUAAUAAAUACUUGGUUUAUGACUUUAAAAAUAGAUGCAGACAAUACUUUGAAAGAAAUUAUUUGUGAGAUACAGGGCAGAAAGUUCUGCACAUCAUACAAAACAGAUUAGGAAGAAUACAGGAUGAUGUAAUUCAUUUUUCCAGUUUUUAAAAAGAUGUCCGAGAGAGAGAGGUUAAACACAGGUGUGAGAGGGGCAGCAAUAGGAACUUCAUGGAAGCUUGAAUAUCUGUGAGAAGAGAGGACUGCAGCCAUAUGAGCUAUUUUCAGUCCCCUAAAGAGCCAUUCUGGCAUAUGCCUUGAUGAUUUUGUUCAUCAUCAUUUUUUGCCUAUAUUUCUUCUGACUGAUGUGUGUCUUUUGCUAUACAACUCCAGUGUCAUUUCUGUUGGGAGGUCUUCCUAAGCGCCCCCACUCCACUGAAUUUCUAUAAGUGGUAAAGGAUUAACUCACUAGUAAAGGAUUAAUUGGUUGGAUUAAUUUAUCCAAACCCUGCACAUUCUGAGGAUCUUCAGGACUGGUUUUGACCACCUCCUGGGAGGUAACCUCUGAUGCCUUGAAUAUUCUUCCUGAUAACUGUGUCUUUGUAUACCUGAGACUUUGUAUCACACUAGAUAGCUUAUGUAUGCUAACCCUGUUGGUGGCAAAUGCUUGUUUUUUUCUGCCUUGGGCUUUGGGUCAUCUGCAUCAGUUUGACCUUUGGGUGGGGAGCUGGCGACUGUCAUAUAAGACUUCAUUGCUUCAUGCCUAUGUGAUUGUCCCCAAUAAAAACCCUGUAACAAAGAUCUCAGGUGGGUUUCCUUAGUUGGCAACACUUUGCAUGUGUUGUUAUGCAUCAUUGCUGGGAGAACUAAGCACUGUCCAUGAGACUCCUCAGGGACAGAACAAUUGGAAGAUUGAAUAUGGUUUCUCUUGGACUCUGCCCUAUGCCCUUUUCCCUUGCUUAUUUUAAUCUGUAUCAUUUUGCUGUAAUAAACCAUAACUGUGAAUAUAAUAGCUUCUCUGUAUACUGUGAAUCUUUCUAGUGAAUCCUAGAACCUGAGGGUGGUCUUCAUACUCUACAAUAAUUUUUGGUUAUAACACAUUAUACUUCUAUUCAUUCAUUAGUUUAUUUAUCCAUCCAUGCAUUUGACUAAUUAACUACUGAAUGCCCACUAUGUACCAGAUAUUGCUAAGCCCUGAAGUAUGAGAAUGAGCAUGAUAGGCAAAAUUCCUACCUUUGUGAAUUUAUAGUCUGGUGGGACAAAGGGAGAAGGAAACAGAUAAAACAAUUUGGUAUGGUAGCAGCUAUUAUGGACAUAGUACAAGAUGACAUGAAGAACAGAGACCUCAGACUCCAACACAAUCUGGUGGGAAGGGGUGUCAGGUA
Long non-coding RNA from Panthera uncia (snow leopard), 4437 nucleotides. RefSeq lists it as uncharacterized. The record is from RefSeq and is a predicted model, not a curated record. NCBI's taxonomy places the organism in Eukaryota, Metazoa, Chordata, Mammalia, Carnivora, Felidae. The transcript is spliced from 3 exons.